UAAGGUAGAAUAGGGCGGGACUUUCCUUUGCCAUCCUAGGAAACACAAAUUCGCCCAUCGUUCACCGGCUUAAUACUUAAUACAUUUUUGUACAUCGUUCUCUUCUCUUAAAUCCAUGCCGUACACCCCGACAAUUUACUUUUUUUUUUACCUCCUGAUGUGUUGCUGAAAAGUUAACCUCCCCUCCGGUGAUUUGUAAUUAUAAUGUAUCAACAUUUAUGAACAUAACAACGUGAAAUGGCGUGCACGUCCAGAGAGUCUACGGUGAGGUCGUAGGGGUCCAUGUUAAGCUUGUUGAAGACUUCCUUGAGUGUGAGCUGUUGGCUGCCCUUCUCCAAGACGACGCGAUCUGCCUCUGUCUGGUUUCUACUGAGCAAUACGGUGAUAUAAUUUACUGAAAAUUGAUUUAGAAAACAACCACAUGACUCCUGUGGAUCAUUGGCUACUGCUGGCCCCCUGCACCACCACUAUGACUUCUCUCAGCUGACCUGGUACUGCUCCAGCGCCCCCUGCCUCUCUUGCUCCAGCUGCUCCAGUUGUUUCAUCGCAGCCUGCAGGGCGCUCUCCUUGGUCAGACGAGCUUUCUCCAGCUCCUUUUUCUCAGCCUCCGUCUCCGAGAUGGCGCGCUGCUGCCGCAGGUGGAACUCCUCCAGCUCUAUCCUCUUUGUGGCCUCUUCCUCCAGUAACCUGCUCAGCAAAGACAUUAAACAUGGCCUCCGGACGGCCUCCUCGUCCUGUCUGGCGCGCCUCUCGUCCUCCAGAGCGUCCUCCAGUUGAUGGUACAUGUCCUCCAGCUCCUGAACCCGCUGCAGGUACUGCUCCAGCUCAGUGGACUUCUGGGCCACCUGCUCCUCCAUUUGCUGCCGUACCUGUUGAACCAGGAAAAAUACAGAGAAAUUCUUUAUCUGGAGGUCAAUAUCAACACACCUG
This is a long non-coding RNA of Perca flavescens (yellow perch), 930 nucleotides long. RefSeq lists it as uncharacterized. The record is from RefSeq and is a predicted model, not a curated record. The transcript has 4 exons. Lineage: Eukaryota; Metazoa; Chordata; Actinopteri; Perciformes; Percidae.